RNAcentral lists this ribosomal RNA (465 nucleotides) under Vreelandella stevensii. Its description in RNAcentral is "partial 16S ribosomal RNA". It matches the Rfam family "Bacterial small subunit ribosomal RNA", at positions 338 to 795 of the family's 1533-position model. Lineage: Bacteria; Pseudomonadati; Pseudomonadota; Gammaproteobacteria; Oceanospirillales; Halomonadaceae. The record is from RNAcentral.
CCUACGGGGGGCUGCAGUGGGGAAUAUUGGACAAUGGGGGCAACCCUGAUCCAGCCAUGCCGCGUGUGUGAAGAAGGCCCUCGGGUUGUAAAGCACUUUCAGUGAGGAAGAACGCCUGGUGGUUAAUACCCAUCAGGAAAGACAUCACUCACAGAAGAAGCACCGGCUAACUCCGUGCCAGCAGCCGCGGUAAUACGGAGGGUGCGAGCGUUAAUCGGAAUUACUGGGCGUAAAGCGCGCGUAGGUGGCUUGAUAAGCCGGUUGUGAAAGCCCCGGGCUCAACCUGGGAACGGCAUCCGGAACUGUCAAGCUAGAGUGCAGGAGAGGAAGGUAGAAUUCCCGGUGUAGCGGUGAAAUGCGUAGAGAUCGGGAGGAAUACCGGUGGCGAAGGCGGCCUUCUGGACUGACACUGACACUGAGGUGCGAAAGCGUGGGUAGCAAACAGGAUUAGAUACCCUAGUAGUC